RNAcentral lists this ribosomal RNA (2902 nucleotides) under Klebsiella pneumoniae. RNAcentral describes it as "23S ribosomal RNA". It matches the Rfam family "Bacterial large subunit ribosomal RNA". Lineage: Bacteria; Pseudomonadati; Pseudomonadota; Gammaproteobacteria; Enterobacterales; Enterobacteriaceae. The record is from RNAcentral.
GGUUAAGCGACUAAGCGUACACGGUGGAUGCCCUGGCAGUCAGAGGCGAUGAAGGACGUGCUAAUCUGCGAAAAGCGUCGGUAAGGUGAUAUGAACCGUUAUAGCCGGCGAUGUCCGAAUGGGGAAACCCAGUGCAAUUCGUUGCACUAUCGUUAACUGAAUACAUAGGUUAACGAGGCGAACCGGGGGAACUGAAACAUCUAAGUACCCCGAGGAAAAGAAAUCAACCGAGAUUCCCCCAGUAGCGGCGAGCGAACGGGGAGCAGCCCAGAGUCUGAAUCAGCUUGUGUGUUAGUGGAACGGUCUGGAAAGUCCGACGGUACAGGGUGAUAGUCCCGUACACCAAAAUGCACAGGCUGUGAACUCGAAGAGUAGGGCGGGACACGUGGUAUCCUGUCUGAAUAUGGGGGGACCAUCCUCCAAGGCUAAAUACUCCUGACUGACCGAUAGUGAACCAGUACCGUGAGGGAAAGGCGAAAAGAACCCCGGCGAGGGGAGUGAAAAAGAACCUGAAACCGUGUACGUACAAGCAGUGGGAGCACCUUCGGGUGUGACUGCGUACCUUUUGUAUAAUGGGUCAGCGACUUAUAUUCUGUAGCAAGGUUAACCGUAUAGGGGAGCCGCAGGGAAACCGAGUCUUAACUGGGCGUUAAGUUGCAGGGUAUAGACCCGAAACCCGGUGAUCUAGCCAUGGGCAGGUUGAAGGUUGGGUAACACUAACUGGAGGACCGAACCGACUAAUGUUGAAAAAUUAGCGGAUGACUUGUGGCUGGGGGUGAAAGGCCAAUCAAACCGGGAGAUAGCUGGUUCUCCCCGAAAGCUAUUUAGGUAGCGCCUCGUGAACUCAUCUUCGGGGGUAGAGCACUGUUUCGGCUAGGGGGUCAUCCCGACUUACCAACCCGAUGCAAACUACGAAUACCGAAGAAUGUUAUCACGGGAGACACACGGCGGGUGCUAACGUCCGUCGUGAAGAGGGAAACAACCCAGACCGCCAGCUAAGGUCCCAAAGUCAUGGUUAAGUGGGAAACGAUGUGGGAAGGCACAGACAGCCAGGAUGUUGGCUUAGAAGCAGCCAUCAUUUAAAGAAAGCGUAAUAGCUCACUGGUCGAGUCGGCCUGCGCGGAAGAUGUAACGGGGCUAAACCAUGCACCGAAGCUGCGGCAGCGACACUAUGUGUUGUUGGGUAGGGGAGCGUUCUGUAAGCCUGCGAAGGUGACCUGUGAGGGUUGCUGGAGGUAUCAGAAGUGCGAAUGCUGACAUAAGUAACGAUAAAGCGGGUGAAAAGCCCGCUCGCCGGAAGACCAAGGGUUCCUGUCCAACGUUAAUCGGGGCAGGGUGAGUCGACCCCUAAGGCGAGGCCGAAAGGCGUAGUCGAUGGGAAACAGGUUAAUAUUCCUGUACUUGGUGUUACUGCGAAGGGGGGACGGAGAAGGCUAUGUUAGCCGGGCGACGGUUGUCCCGGUUUAAGCAUGUAGGCUGGUUAUCCAGGCAAAUCCGGAUAAUCAAGGCUGAGGUGUGAUGACGAGGCACUACGGUGCUGAAGUAACAAAUGCCCUGCUUCCAGGAAAAGCCUCUAAGCAUCAGGUAACAUUAAAUCGUACCCCAAACCGACACAGGUGGUCAGGUAGAGAAUACCAAGGCGCUUGAGAGAACUCGGGUGAAGGAACUAGGCAAAAUGGUGCCGUAACUUCGGGAGAAGGCACGCUGGUGUGUAGGUGAAGUCCCUGCGGAUGGAGCUGAGACCAGUCGAAGAUACCAGCUGGCUGCAACUGUUUAUUAAAAACACAGCACUGUGCAAACACGAAAGUGGACGUAUACGGUGUGACGCCUGCCCGGUGCCGGAAGGUUAAUUGAUGGGGUUAUCCGUAAGGAGAAGCUCUUGAUCGAAGCCCCGGUAAACGGCGGCCGUAACUAUAACGGUCCUAAGGUAGCGAAAUUCCUUGUCGGGUAAGUUCCGACCUGCACGAAUGGCGUAAUGAUGGCCAGGCUGUCUCCACCCGAGACUCAGUGAAAUUGAACUCGCUGUGAAGAUGCAGUGUACCCGCGGCAAGACGGAAAGACCCCGUGAACCUUUACUAUAGCUUGACACUGAACAUUGAGCCUUGAUGUGUAGGAUAGGUGGGAGGCUUUGAAGCGUGGACGCCAGUCUGCGUGGAGCCAACCUUGAAAUACCACCCUUUAAUGUUUGAUGUUCUAACGUUGGCCCCUGACCGGGGUUGCGGACAGUGUCUGGUGGGUAGUUUGACUGGGGCGGUCUCCUCCCAAAGCGUAACGGAGGAGCACGAAGGUUAGCUAAUCCUGGUCGGACAUCAGGAGGUUAGUGCAAUGGCAUAAGCUAGCUUGACUGCGAGCGUGACGGCGCGAGCAGGUGCGAAAGCAGGUCAUAGUGAUCCGGUGGUUCUGAAUGGAAGGGCCAUCGCUCAACGGAUAAAAGGUACUCCGGGGAUAACAGGCUGAUACCGCCCAAGAGUUCAUAUCGACGGCGGUGUUUGGCACCUCGAUGUCGGCUCAUCACAUCCUGGGGCUGAAGUAGGUCCCAAGGGUAUGGCUGUUCGCCAUUUAAAGUGGUACGCGAGCUGGGUUUAGAACGUCGUGAGACAGUUCGGUCCCUAUCUGCCGUGGGCGCUGGAGAAUUGAGGGGGGCUGCUCCUAGUACGAGAGGACCGGAGUGGACGCAUCACUGGUGUUCGGGUUGUCAUGCCAAUGGCACUGCCCGGUAGCUAAAUGCGGAAGAGAUAAGUGCUGAAAGCAUCUAAGCACGAAACUUGCCCCGAGAUGAGUUCUCCCUGAGACUUUAAGUCUCCUGAAGGAACGUUGAAGACGACGACGUUGAUAGGCCGGGUGUGUAAGCGCAGCGAUGCGUUGAGCUAACCGGUACUAAUGAACCGUGAGGCUUAACCUU